This 1522-nucleotide ribosomal RNA is filed under the name Oregonichthys crameri (Oregon chub). RNAcentral describes it as "partial 16S ribosomal RNA". It matches the Rfam family "Bacterial large subunit ribosomal RNA". The record is from RNAcentral. Lineage: Eukaryota; Metazoa; Chordata; Actinopteri; Cypriniformes; Leuciscidae.
UGCAAGUUGGAUCACCCUGAGCUAACCAGCUAGCUUAACCACUAAUAUAAUUCAACGAUAUUCAUAACAGAACAAGACCUGACACCACGAACUAAACCAUUUUUUUACCUGAGUAUGGGAGACAGAAAAGGUUCAACCCAAAGCGAUAGAGAAAGUACCGCAAGGAAAGCUGAAAGAGAAAUGAAACAACCCAUAUAAGCACUGGAAAACAAAGGCUAGACCUUGUACCUUUUGCAUCAUGAUUUAGCCAGUACCCUCAAGCGAAGAGACCUUUAGUUUGACACCCCGAAACCAGGUGAGCUACCCCGAGACAGCCUAUGUUAAUUUAGGGCUAACCCGUCUCUGUGGCAAAAGAGUGGGAAGAGCUCCGGGUAGAAGUGACAGACCUACCGAACCUGGUGAUAGCUGGUUGCCUGAGAUAUGAAUAGAAGUUCAGCCUCGCACACCCCAAAUCAAGGAAGAUAUCAUCAAGAUACUAUGGGAAAAAUACGAGAGUUAGUUGAAGGGGGUACAGCCCCUUUAACAAAGGAUACAACCUUCACAGGAGGAUAAAGAGCAUAAUACAUAAGACACCCUGUUCUAGUGGGCCUGAAAGCAGCCACCUAAGCAGAAAGCGUUAAAGCUCAGACAGAAAGAAAUUUAUUAUACCGUUAAAAAAUCUUACUCCCCUAAAUUUAUCAGGCCGACCCAUGCCCACAUGGUGAGACUAUGCUAAAAUGAGUAACAAGAAGACCAGAUCUUCUCCCGUCACAAGUGUAGGCCAGAUCGGACUAACCACUGGAAUUUAACGAGCCCAACCCAAGAGCCCAGUGACUACGGGUUCAACGGCCGCGGUAUUUUGACCGUGCAAAGGUAGCGCAAUCACUUGUCUCUUAAAUGGAGACCUGUAUGAAUGGCUAGACGAGGGCUUAACUGUCUCCCCCUUCCAGUCAGUGAAAUUGAUCUAUCCGUGCAGAAGCGGGUAUAAUAGUACAAGACGAGAAGACCCUUUGGAGCUUAAGGUACAAGCUUCAGCCACGUUAAACAACUCUAUAGAAAGCAAGAACUUAGUGGCCAUGAAAUUUUACCUUCGGUUGGGGCGACCACGGAGGAAAACUAAGCCUCCGAGUGGAUUGGGCCAAAACCCCUAAAGCCAAGAGGAACAUCUUUAGGCCGCAGAACAUCUGACCAAUAGUGAUCCGGCUGAGAAGCCGAUCAGCGAACCAAGUUACCCUAGGGAUAACAGCGCAAUCCUCUCCCAGAGCCCAUAUCGACGAGGGGGUUUACGACCUCGAUGUUGGAUCAGGACAUCCUAAUGGUGCAGCAGCUAUUAAGGGUUCGUUUGUUCAACGAUUAAAGUCCUACGUGAUCUGAGUUCAGACCGGAGCAAUCCAGGUCAGUUUCUAUCUGUAACGCUACUUUUCCUAGUACGAAAGGAUCGGAAAAAGGGGGCCUAUGCUUAGAGCAUGCCCCGCCCCUAAUUGAUGAAAACAAAUAAAUUAAGUAAAGGGAGGGCCAAGCCCUGCCGCCCGAGAUAAGGGCA